GUCUUUAACUCGAGCAGUGGGGGAACACGGACGAGUUGAUCAGACUCAGUUAAUGGUUCAUUCUCAUCGGGUCUGCGAAGCCAAAAACCAGGAUGGGCUGAGAGGCAAAAUCCUUGCGGGCAUUAAAAAUGAAUUAAGAGACGCGUCGCCUCGUUAGCCCAUGCUGAGGGUGGCGGUCUAACACAUCCUGUUGUGGAGCGGCUGGUCUCCAUUGCCUGGUGGAAUAGUCACACGUUUAUACCUUCCGCAGCAGGCUAUGCCAUAGUUCUGAAUGGAGUGGCUGGUGGUAAGGUGUCUCUCCACCUGCACGGAAGCAGUGCUGAGUAGAGCUGGUCAGGACUUUUUCAAUUCAGAGCAUGGAUAUGAAUCUGAAUCUCUUACAUCCCAGGUGAGUGCCCUAAUCACUGGGCUAUUAACUAUUGUGGGGUGGGGUGCGGCUCUCUUCUGUUUUUUUGUGAAACAUUUUGAAAGAUUCCCAAUGUGGCAAGGGAAAGUUUUUCAAUAGAGUACAGCCUCUGUUUUACAAACUAAUUGGGGACUGAGGA
RNAcentral lists this long non-coding RNA (545 nucleotides) under Chrysemys picta bellii (western painted turtle). RNAcentral describes it as "lncRNA (ENSCPBG00000025260.1)". Lineage: Eukaryota; Metazoa; Chordata; Testudines; Emydidae. The record is from RNAcentral.